Molecule: RNA transcript, 3332 nt
Organism: Solenopsis invicta (red fire ant)
Lineage: Eukaryota; Metazoa; Arthropoda; Insecta; Hymenoptera; Formicidae
Gene: Mgat4a
Gene name: alpha-1,3-mannosyl-glycoprotein 4-beta-N-acetylglucosaminyltransferase B
Exons: 12
Source: RefSeq, a predicted model, not a curated record
GUAGAAAAUAUAUACGUGAUCCUGACACGCAAGGCAAGAAAUGUACAAUUGUCGAUAACUAUCGAGCUUAGCAAUUUCGUUCUAUUGUUGUCGAGAUAUAUUCGAAUACUCAUUAAAUUUUUUGGUAAACAGAAGGUUCCAAAUCUCUCGCGCUUUGGGUGCUUCCCAAUAAAAAAAGGAUUAUGCGCGGAAUUAUUCCUGGAUCGAUAUUGGACUUUUUACGGUGUAAAAUUGUAUUAAUUAAAUGUAUUAAUUAAAGAGCAAUCAAUUAAAAGCAUCUGUCAAGAUUGGAAUUUACGCUCUUUAUCAGAAGCUCGUAAUUUUUAUUCUCUGAAUCUCUUCUUGUUUCAUGUCGGGUUUCCCCAGUUUUUCUUCGAAGGAAAAAAAUACCAAAGUAAUCUUCUAAUCAGAAAUAAUCCGAUUAAUAAUUUUUUUUUGUCAAUACUAGCCUUUCGAUAUCUCGAGCACCCGUAUAUACUCCUAUAAUAAACGGCAGGUUUGAAACAAGUUAUAAUGAUCGAACGGGCAGGUUAUGUUGGUAACAGGUGCGCGACAGACGUUACUUCCUACCUGUGAGAUCCAAAGAACGUGUCGUAUUAGAGCGUUGUACAUCGCGUGACGUGUGAUCUCGGGAUCUUUAAUUGGGACGAAAAGAACGAAAUUCCAACGCGACGACGAGGCAAUGUCGUCGCGACGCGCAUUCGUCAACUGUGAACUCGAAGAAGGCUAAAUGUCAAAAAUAAUAUAAUAUUUGAUACUACUUUUCGAAGCUGAUGGAUACAAUCAUGUAGAGUCUAAAAAGUAGAGGCAGAAAAGGGGAAGAUGACACCUCAUUUUACAACAUUGACUCCAGUGCGAAAGCGAUGUCUAAUCGUGCUGUUGCUAGUCUUGGUUCCAUGUGCGAUUCUGAAUCUGCUGACGCCAUCAGACAUGCGCGAGGAGGCUAUAUUACAGAACAGCAUUGCCGAACUGCAGGCCAAGCUGGAGCAUUUACAUGCUAAAUAUAUUGGCAGCCAGGAGGAAAUAAACUUACUGUCUCAUCAGUUGCUACAACUGAUUGAGAGCAAUCACAUCUUACCAGAUCUGCAACUGCUCAUCAACAAUGGCACCUCCAAUGUCACUAACAUUAAGCUGCCUUCGAUCUAUAAUUUUCUACCACAUUUUCUCAAUGAUCCAAAUAGUCUUCGUCCUGCGUUUGUGCAGAGCAAAGGUAGAUCGGGAGUUAGCAUGGUGUUGGGAGUACCAACGGUUAAACGCGAGGUUCAAUCUUAUCUUAUGGCGACUUUAAAAAAUUUGCUAGAUCGUAUGAACACAGCAGAAAUCGCAGAUACCUUGAUCAUCGUUUUAGUGGCUGAAACAGAUAUUGAUUAUGUGACAUAUGUUGCAAAGCAAAUUGAAGUUCAAUUUCCGAAUGAAUGUGAAGCUGGCGUGAUCGAUGUAAUAUCACCAUCACCAUCUUAUUAUCCAGAUUUAUCAAAAUUACGCGACACUCUCGGUGACGAUCAUCAACGUGUCGUUUGGCGGUCCAAGCAGAAUCUGGAUUUUGCUUUUCUCAUGUCAUAUGCCCAGACUAAAGGCACAUUUUAUGUGCAAUUAGAAGAUGAUAUUUUGGCCAAGAAGAACUUUGUAACUACUAUGAAAUCCUUUGCGUUGCAAAAGAUUGGCACAAAGGAAAAUUGGUUCGUUCUCGAUUUCUGUCAGCUUGGUUUUAUCGGAAAAUUGUUCAAAUGUGUGGAACUUCCCUGGCUAAUUCAAUUUUUUUUGAUGUUCCACAAUGAUAAGCCUGUCGAUUGGCUAUUGGAUCAUUUGAUAUCGACAAGAGUCUGUAGUCUUGAUAAAGACAGCAAACAUUGCAAAAUGGCUAAGGCAGAGUUGUGGGUGCAUUACAAACCUUCUCUUUUUCAACACAUAGGAACGCAUUCAUCCUUGAAGGGAAAAGUGCAAAAACUCAAGGAUAAACAAUUUGGUAAAAUAACGCUAUUUUACGCUCACGAGAAUCCUGAGGCGACUGUGGAGACUCAAAUCAAGCCUUACAAACAAUAUACACUACAAAAAGCAUAUAAAGGCGAGACGUUCUUUUGGGGCUUGCUACCUCAACCAGGAGACCAUUUAAAGUUUAAAUUUUCACAUCCUAUUUUUAUAAAGAAGUACUUAUUCAGGAGUGGAAAUCCUGAACACCCGUCUGAUAAAUUUUACAAUACGACGGUGGAAGUAUUGUCCGAGAUGUCUCCGUUGUUGGAUAGAAACAGCAAUGAUGUGACAGAGGACGGUUACAUUAUUAUAGAUAAGUUUGAUGUACUUGGUGUUGCUGAAGGGACUGUGGAUCGAAGAUUGGGUAAGGUGUCUGUGCUUCGUUUAAGUAUACACAGUGAAAGCGAGAACUGGGCCAUUCUGUCUGAGAUUCACAUAAUAGAGGAUCAGCCUAGCUGACUAAAGGACGAAAAUUCUCGAGUGCUUUUGCGGUACCGCCUGCAUGGUUAAUAGAAAUCAAUGCCCUGUACGGUUUUGGACCAGCUGUGACACCGUCUACAAAGUCUUGCGUGGAUGGUCGUGCUUCACCGGGCACCACCGAGAAGUUAAACGCUUGUAGCAACGUGGCCGUUAUGAUGAAAAUGUUACUCCUAGCUAAUACCUCUCCCAUACAACGAUGUCUGCCUGUAAAUUAUUUCACACUUAGGAUCGAGCUUAUGAUUACAUUUAUGUGAUUGUGAGAUUUUAUACAUAAGUUUUGUAGUAGUUAACAUACGAGAAAGGAGAAAGAAACGCACCCAUGCCGAAAGGAACAUAUUUUUCUGGCGUAAUGAUGUUGCCGUCACUGUCGAGGAAUCUCUCCGGUCGGAAAUCUUCCGCAUCGUUCCAAGAUUCAUCCAUGAUUAUUCUGUUGUAAUUUACAACGAGCAUUGUGUCCUAAAAAGACGUAGUGUCUCUUAUUGCUCUAUGUGGGACAUUCAAAGUACGGCCCACGAAUAUUCGUAAGGACUCCAGAACGAUAGCUUGGAUGUAUGGCAUUCUGAAAAACGAAGAUAUAAUUAAUGCACGACGCGAAAUCUUCUGCAAUUAUAGAUGAAAUGUGAAAGUGAUUGACAACGUUUACCUUGGUUUGUCAGCCAAUGUGGGAAAUCUGUCGCGUCCAAUAACUCUGUCUAUUUCUUCGUGUGCCUUUCUCUGAACCUGCGGAUUUAAUAUUAGAUUUAAAAAUCCGAAGCCGAGUGCUUUCGAAGUAGUUUCGGAGCCCGCUAUGAAGAGAUCCACACAGAUUGCCAACAACUGGGAUUCUGAAAUUGUUAUUUUUAUAAAAUUAUCAUUCAGUAAUAAUAAUGUUAUUUGUAUAA